GGAGGUAUAGCUCACUGGUAAAGCACUAUCUAGCAUGCACAGGUCCUGGGUUUGACUCCCAGCACCUCAA
Molecule: transfer RNA, 70 nt
Filed under: Marmota monax (woodchuck)
Lineage: Eukaryota; Metazoa; Chordata; Mammalia; Rodentia; Sciuridae
Description: tRNA.Ala
Source: RNAcentral